Molecule: long non-coding RNA, 2362 nt
Filed under: Homo sapiens (human)
Lineage: Eukaryota; Metazoa; Chordata; Mammalia; Primates; Hominidae
Description: HSALNT0030058
Source: RNAcentral
AUUAACCUCACCUUCAAGGUGAACAAUAAUAGAGUAGCAGCAGCCAAGUAGCAACAUAUUUCUGUGUUGCAAUUCCUUGCCUCCACUGUGAGCCAAACCCCAGCCACAUCUCCAGCACACAAGAACUUCCAAACGCCUGACGGCAGCUGCAAGGCGUUCCUCCAGAACCUCCUCCCACAAGAGCUUGCUACAAGUGCAAGAAAUCUGGCCACUGGGUCAAGGAAUGCCCACAGCCCAGGAUUCCUCCCAAGCUGUGUCCCAUCUGUGCCACUGAAAAUCGGACUGUUCAACUCACCUAGCAGCCACUCCCAGAGGCCCUGGAACUCUGGCCCAAGGCUCUCUGACUCCUUCCCAGAUCUUCUCGGCUUAGCAGCUGAAGACUGAGACUGCCCGAUUGCCUCGAAAGCCUACAGGACCAUCACAGACUCUCUGGGUAACUCACAGUGGAAGAUCUUCCUUUGGACAACCGCCUCCUCCCUGCCUUCAUUCCUGUGGUUUGGUGAAGCUGACACUUCUCCCAGCUAUAGGGAGGGGCGUGAGCCACAGGCCAAAGUCAAUCAGUGCAUUCCAUCCACCAGCCCAGAGACUGAAUCAGCAAAGGUCCCAGAGCUCCACUUGGGCCAAUGGCAGUCAGGCCAAGGACUUUGUGGAACUGUUGCUCAGAGGACAGCCCCUUGGAACACAGCAGUAGCUUUACACAAUGCUAUCUGCCCCUUGCAACAAAGCAGUAAUUUCACUACUUGAGGGAUGGAAAAGAUGUACCAUAAAAGACACAGAGGCGAUAGACAAAAGGGAAGUAAGAUUCAGGUCUUGCACAGAAACUGAGCCUUGAUUUUCCGCAGAAUAUACUGUGACCAAGCCUCCUGCAGGGCUGCCUGUACGUUAAAGAAAUGGAAGCGUCUUGAAUCGUGUCCAUCGUCCCUCCUUUACACAAAGUAAUCACCUCCAGCUGGGCCAAGUUGAUUGAGGAAACGUUCAGUUUUCACAUGAUUUUGCUGUAGCACCAUAAUGAAUGUAUUUCUUUGAUGGAAGAAAGAAGCUUCAUGAAAUAAACUGCUUAAGGAUUUGAAGUUGGAGCUGAAAACAUGGGCUGCUUUGUUCUUAAUGACAACUGCUUUGCCAUCUAAAACAUUUCUCCUUUUUGAAGGAUCUGUCUUUUCUCUUCCAGCCACAACCCUCGAGCUACAAUAACAGGCUCAUGAUUUUUUUAGAUGCCAAGGUUAUGAAUACUCUUUUAUGAAUAUUUUCCUUUGAACUCAUUUCUCUUGAAGAAGAAAAAUAGCCCUACAUAUUGCAGGAUUGACAAUAACAGACAAAACGUACAAAUUGUUCUCUUAGGGGCAGUAAAAUGCUCCAAAAUGCACAUAGAAAAAUUCCAAAUGCAACCUGAUGUUUAUGGAGCACUGCCUUUGCAGCUAUAAUUUUUAGAAAGUAAUAUUUCUGACUGACAUGAAUUAUACAGAGCAUAUUUCAGAGACUAAUAUCAGGUUAAUGCCUUAAAAUGUCUCCGUUUAUGACAUCAUGGCUGCUUUUCCUAUAUCAGUGCAAACUCUUAGUGAGUAGAAUUUGAGGAUAUGUCUUUUCAAAGGAAGAAAACCUUCACUGAAUUAAGCUGCUUAUGGUUUUAUUUUUUCUUUUAUCCCAUUUCAACAUAUCCACCAACCUCCUCUAAAAAUAAUUCAACUAAUGUGAACUCAACAGAUUAUAGUAGAUCUCUUAUUAAUUUCAUUUUGCCUCCAAAGGAGCUUAUCAUUUAGGCUUAUAAUUAUGUAUGCAGUACUGUCGACUAAUGUUUAGGUUCCUCAUUAAAACUUCAUUUCAUUCUGUUUUAAUAUCAUCAGUCUGUUAGACCAUUUAUUUUCUCAUGUUAAAAAAUAUGUGUUUUCCCUGAACUCUUUCCAUAUGUUUUCUCUCAUCCAAAAAAUCCAGAAAACUCAGCUCCCUUUAAUCCUGCUUUGUGGCUUAGAUACUUUAGCCUGGAACCACUCGUGUUGAUUUGUAUAUACCCACACUUACGCAAAAAUAGCCUUCACUACGGCAGAGUAAUCAUUCUGCAUAGAAAUUAUGUGUCUCUGAAGCCUAUGUUGUCAGGUGAAUCGUGGCAGCAAUGACCUAAGAAUGCAUCCCCAGUUUGAAAUGACCUAUAAAAAUUUCAAGAUACAACUAUUGCUUUGCAUUUGGCAUCGGGAAUAUUCUGUAUAGUUCUUUUCAUGUAAAUGGGCAAUAUUCUAGAAUGGUUCCCAAGUAUAAGCUUUAGAGCUAGACUUCUUGGGUACAACUCCCACUAUUACCACUUACUAGUUAUGUAAUAUUGGAAAAUACACUUAACUACUCUGAGCAUCAUAAAGUAAGCUUACUAACA